This 226-nucleotide long non-coding RNA is filed under the name Solanum tuberosum (potato). Its description in RNAcentral is "long non-coding RNA (STUB_LNC011635)". Lineage: Eukaryota; Viridiplantae; Streptophyta; Magnoliopsida; Solanales; Solanaceae. The record is from RNAcentral.
CCCGUUCAUGCUUCACAUAAAUAUUCAAAACAAAUAGUAAAUUUAGUAUAUUGCAAUACUUGGGCUUACACACCCCAAAAGAACAAAACAUAUAGCCAUACUUAAUUUACAACCCAUGGUGACAUGAUCACAUAAGUCAUCGAAAUUUCAUGUGAAUAUACAACACAAAGAUCAUGUACAAGUCCCAAGGUUUAUACAAAAUAUAGAUGCCUAAAUGCAAAUGUGA